Molecule: non-coding RNA, 111 nt
Organism: Acanthosepion pharaonis
Lineage: Eukaryota; Metazoa; Mollusca; Cephalopoda; Sepiida; Sepiidae
Source: the annotation of a GenBank genome assembly
UUAUGGCCACAUCAUGUUGGAACACUGGUUCCCAUAUGAUCACCAAAGUUAAGCAAUGUCAAGCCUGGUCAGUAUCUAAAUGGAAGACCACUUGGGAAUACCAGGUGUCAU